AUUUACGAUGGCCUCUCCUCAAGGCGAACCUUCUGAUCCCAAUCCACCACGAUUCCCUUCGAGUGAAUCCCUGUUUCCGACGGGAGAUGGAUUUACUCCACAAGGGGUGGCCAUUCCUUGUUUUCUUUCUUCCAUGUCUAAGGAAGAAAAGAUCGAGUGCCAUGAAUUCAUGGAACAGGUUUGACCUCGAUACCAGUUGUUUCAAGGUUGUACUCGAUAAAUUCGUAAUGCAUCUGUUCUUUGCAGAUCACCAAAAGGUACGUCUUCCUCUGCUCCGAAAGGCAACGCCUUGGAAGGAAACG
This 302-nucleotide long non-coding RNA is filed under the name Arabidopsis lyrata. RNAcentral describes it as "long non-coding RNA (ALYR_LNC000220)". Lineage: Eukaryota; Viridiplantae; Streptophyta; Magnoliopsida; Brassicales; Brassicaceae. The record is from RNAcentral.